UACGUAGGGUGCGAGCGUUAAUCGGAAUUACUGGGCGUAAAGCGUGCGCAGGCGGUUCGUUGUGUCGGUGGUGAAAUCCCCGGGCUUAACCUGGGAAUGGCCAUGGAAACUGGCGAACUGGAGUGCGGCAGAGGGGGGUGGAAUUCCGCGUGUAGCAGUGAAAUGCGUAGAGAUGCGGAGGAACACCGAUGGCGAAGGCAGCCCCGUGGGCUAGCACUGACGCUCAGGCACGAAAGCGUGGGGAGCAAACAGG
This 253-nucleotide ribosomal RNA is filed under the name uncultured bacterium. RNAcentral's name for it is "partial 16S ribosomal RNA". It matches the Rfam family "Bacterial small subunit ribosomal RNA", at positions 524 to 776 of the family's 1533-position model. The record is from RNAcentral.